This 495-nucleotide ribosomal RNA is filed under the name Curimatella lepidura. RNAcentral describes it as "partial 16S ribosomal RNA". It matches the Rfam family "Bacterial large subunit ribosomal RNA", at positions 1812 to 2606 of the family's 2925-position model. The record is from RNAcentral. Lineage: Eukaryota; Metazoa; Chordata; Actinopteri; Characiformes; Curimatidae.
AACAUCGCCUCCUGCAAAAAUCAAUGUAUAGGAGGUCCUGCCUGCCCAGUGACAACUUGUUAAACGGCCGCGGUAUUUUGACCGUGCUAAGGUAGCGCAAUCACUUGUCUUUUAAAUGAAGACCUGUAUGAAUGGUGGAACGAGGGCUUAACUGUCUCCCUUCUCCCGUCAAUGAAAUUGAUCUGCCCGUGCAGAAGCGGGCAUACAUAUACAAGACGAGAAGACCCUUUGGAGCUUAUUGGGGCGACCGCGGGGGAAAAUAAAGCCCCCACGUAAAACCGAGAGAGACAUCUCUAAGCCACAGAAUAUCUGACCAAAAGAUCCGGCCCACAAGCCGAUCAACGAACCAAGUUACCCUAGGGAUAACAGCGCAAUCCCCUCCAAGAGUUCAUAUCGACGAGAGGGUUUACGACCUCGAUGUUGGAUCAGGACAUCCUAAUGGUGCAGCCGCUAUUAAGGGUUCGUUUGUUCAACGAUUAAAGUCCUACGUGAUCU